UGGGGAAUAUUGCGCAAUGGGGGAAACCCUGACGCAGCUACGCCGCGUGGAUGAUGAAGGCCUUCGGGUUGUAAAGUCCUGUCGGGAGGGAAGAAGUUUUGACGGUACCUCCCAAGAAAGCACCGGCCAACUCCGUGCCAGCAGCCGCGGUAAUACGGAGGGUGCAAGCGUUGCUCGGAAUUACUGGGCGUAAAGGGUACGCAGGCGGGCCAUCAUGUCGGAUGUGAAAGCCCGGGGCUCAACCCCGGAAAGUCGUUCGAAACGGGUGGUCUAGAGUAUGGGAGAGGGAAGUGGAAUUCCUGGUGUAGAGGUGAAAUUCGUAGAGAUCAGGAGGAACACCAGUGGCGAAAGCGACUUCCUGGCCCAAUACUGACGCUCAUGUACGAAAGCGUGGGUAGCAAACAGGAUUAGAUACCCCCGUAGUCC
RNAcentral lists this ribosomal RNA (426 nucleotides) under uncultured prokaryote. RNAcentral describes it as "bacterial SSU rRNA". It matches the Rfam family "Bacterial small subunit ribosomal RNA", at positions 355 to 796 of the family's 1533-position model. The record is from RNAcentral.